This 492-nucleotide ribosomal RNA is filed under the name Phaeophilacris sp. n. Gha. RNAcentral's name for it is "partial 16S ribosomal RNA". It matches the Rfam family "Bacterial large subunit ribosomal RNA", at positions 1833 to 2582 of the family's 2925-position model. Lineage: Eukaryota; Metazoa; Arthropoda; Insecta; Orthoptera; Phalangopsidae. The record is from RNAcentral.
CCUUUUGAAUUUAUUUAAGGUCUUGCCUGCCCAAUGAUUUUUUGAAUGGCCGCGGUAUUUUGACCGUGCAAAGGUAGCAUAAUCAUUAGUCUUUUAAUUGGAGGCUGGAAUGAAUGGUUUGACGAGAUGGUGACUGUCUUAUGUAUAUGGAAUUGAAUUUUACUUUUAAGUUAAAAGGCUUAAAUAGUGAACAGGGACGAGAAGACCCUAUAGAUCUUUAUUUGUUGUUUUGGGGGAUUAAUAUGUUUGGGAGUAUUAAGGACCUUUAGAAUUAACGAAUUUUGUUGGGGUGAUGUGAGAAAGAGUUAAACUUCUUAUUGAGUAAACUUUGAUAAUAGGGUAAUUGAUCCUUUAUUAUGGAUGUAAGAUUAAGAUACCUUAGGGAUAACAGCGUUAUUUUAUUUGAGAGUUCUUAUUGACAAUAAAGAUUGCGACCUCGAUGUUGGAUUAUGAUUACAUCUGGGUGCAGUAGCUUGUGGUGUUGGUCUGUUC